AGCACUCUUUCUUUGGCACUGGCAUUGAAUUGACACAAAAUUGUCAGAUUGCAAGAUGAAGAAAACACAAAAGCCAAAAGGUAGAGCAAAACUACAAUUUUUUGAGUUUUAAGUAGAGUAUGUCCGAAAUGGGAAGGUUUGAGAAAUUAUACAAAGAGAGUGCAGAUUCGUUGUAAGCAAAUAAACAUUCAAAGCUCCCAUUCCAUUCAUCUUCUUUUCGGGGAAGUGAAAUGGCCGAGGCGGUUGUUUCCGGUGUGGUGACAAGGAUUGGUGACUUGCUCGUACAAGAAGGAAAAUUCUUGUCCGGGGUGAGUAACCAAGUUGAGCUGCUACAAAUUGAGCUCAAACUUAUGCAAGGCUUAUUAAAGGAUGCAGAUGCAAGGCAGAAUGAGUCAGAGCUUGUAAGGCAGUGGGUUGCUGAAAUAAGAGAUCUUGCUUAUGAUGCAGAUGAUAUCAUUGCCACUCAUGCCCACACAGUUGGAUCCAGAAAGGGAGGAGGUGUACAAAAGGUUCUCGAGAGGUGCAGUCGCAUCUUGGAUGAAGGAAUUACAGUGCACCACGUUGGGUCAAAGAUUGAAGAUAUCAUGAUAAAAAUUUCUAACUUGAAAACAAGUUUUCAAGGCUAUGGCAUAAGGGAAUCUAUGAUAAAAGGAGGUGGAUCCAGUUCUUUUAAUGAGAGGCAACGAGAGCAAAGGCAAACAUUUUCUCAUCUUGAACAUGACGUUGUUGGGUUUGACGAUGACUUGAAUAAAUUGGUGGAGUUUUUGCUUAAAGAAGGCGAAGACAGCAGAGUAGCUUCCAUAUGUGGUAUGGGUGGUUUGGGAAAGACCACUCUUGCUAAGAUGGUUUAUAAUUACCGCGAAGUCAAGCAACACUUUGAUUGUCAUGCUUGGGUAUAUAUUUCACAACAAUGUCAAAGAAGACGUGUUUGGGAAGAAAUUUUGAUUAGCCUUCUGUCUAAAGAUCAAAGGGAUGAAAUUCAAAAGUUGAAGGAUGCAGAGAUUGUUGAGAAACUUCGUCAAGUUCAAUGCGAGAAAAAGUGUUUGGUGAUUUUAGACGAUAUUUGGAACAUUGAGGCCUGGAACAGUGUACAGGAAGCCUUCCUAGUGAGGAGUACUGGUAGCAAAAUAUUGCUUACCUCUCGUAAUAAACAAGUGUGUUUGCAUGUAGACCCCAGAAGUUUCCUUUGUGAAUUGCAAUCUCUAAAUGAAGAAAGGAGUUGGGAAUUACUUGACAAGAUAGCAAUAUCUUGGAGAGAAGACUGUGUGACCAAAACUUACAUGAAGAAGUUUGGAAAGGAAAUGAUUGGAUAUUGUGGGGGUUUGCCAUUGGCCAUCACUGUACUUGGAGGUCUUUUAGCAGCAAAGCAAACACAGGAAGAAUGGGAGGAUGUGCUUAGACAUAUCAAAUCAUACCUUCAUGUAGAACAAAACUUAAGAGUCAACAAAGUUUUAGCUUUAAGCUAUAAUGAUUUACCUUGUCACUUGAAACCAUGCUUUCUAUAUUUAGGUCAUUUUCCAGAGGAUUUUGAGAUACCGACAAAAGAAUUGAUUCGGAUGUGGAUGGGAGAAGGUUUUGUAUCGGAAAUUCAGCACAAUAGAGGAAGAGAGGAUACAAUGGAUGAUGUGGGACACCGAUAUUUAAGGGAGCUAGUGCAAAGAUGCAUGGUUUUGGUGGGGAAAAUGGGCUCACUUGGAAGGAUUAAAACUUGUCGAAUGCAUGAUCUUAUGCGAGACUUUUGUGUAUCAAAGGCCCAAGAGGAAAAUUUUCUCCAUAUUACCAAUAUUCUUUCCUUGGAACGGCGUGAAGCGCAAAACUGUAAGGUUCGAAGACUUGCUAUCAUUUUGGAAUCAAAUGAUUAUUACAUCACGGGAAUUAAAUUCAGUGAAUAUCCAUACCUCAGGUCUCUUCUCUACCUUCUGCCUCUACCUUAUGAAAAUAAUUUGAUUCAAAGUUAUUCUGAUUUUAAAGAAUCAUGUUUCAAGAAAUUCAAGUUGGUUAGAGUCUUACAUCUGGAACGUUUUCGAAAACACGGCCGCAAAUUAUCUAAAGACAUUGGAUGUCUCAUCCACUUGAGAUAUUUAUCUCUCAAAAAUAGCAAUAUAAAUAAGGUGUCGACAUCUAUUGGCAAUUUGAGGUGCCUGGAGACACUAGAUUUGCGAAUCGCCUCCAAACCAAGAGUGCCAAAUGUGUUCAAGUAUAUGAAACAAUUGAAACAUCUUUAUUUACCUUGGAGAUAUAGGGUAUGUUGUAAGUUGGAAUUGGGUAAUCUUAGUUAUUUGCAAACAUUGGUGAAUGUUAAGCCCAAAACCAUCCAAAUUCCCACAUGGUUCAAAUUCAACCUUCUUCGGGUUCUUAAAGUGAAGAAUAAAAAAGGGGCCCAAGAUGCAAUACAAAUGCUAAUAUCAAGGUGUCCACUUAUAGAAAAGCUACAUCUACGUAAACAUUUAAAGAAGCUUCCAGAAGCUCACCAAUUCUCUCCAAAUCUAGCCAAGUUGACUUUAUCGGGGACUAAACUUGAGGAAGACCCAAUGGAAACGUUAGAGAAGUUACCCAACUUAAAAAUCCUCUGCUUCCGUCAUGCGUUGGAGAAGAUAUCCAGACACACAUACGUUGGAUGUGCAACCUUUACUGGGAAGAAUAUGGUUUGUUCUGAAAGAGGAUUUCCUCUGCUUCAAUCUCUUCUCCUUUCUCACUUGUACGACUUAGAGGAGUGGAGGGUGGAGGAAGGAGCCAUGCCCAGUCUCUGCCGUUUGGAAAUUGAAUUUUGCGAUCAAUUGAAGAUGGUCCCUGAUGGAUUGAGGUUCAUCACAACCCUCCAGCAAUUGGAGAUCAAAAAAAUGUCAAAGUCAUUCAAAGACAGGCUUAACGAAGGAGGACCAGAUUUUGACAAAGUCAAACAUGUGCCUUCCCUUGUAUUUCAAAGAUGGGACUACUGAUAAUCUUUACCUAACAAGGUGAAAUCGUCCAUGGUCUAAUAUGCUUGCACAGAUUCAUCAAACAUAUUCUCCGAUGCCUAUGUGUAGUGAUGUGAAAUCAUCCAUGGUUUGCUACUGGUAUGGGUUAGUGUCAGUUAUACAAUUUCAAGGAUAUGAUUGCACCGACUCAUUAAACAUAUUCUCUGAUGCCUAUGUGUAGUGAUGUAAAGAAUUGUUUGUUUGGUGAUGGUACUCUGCGUUGUGAUAUUUUAUUGGGUGGUUUGUUUGCAUUAGUGUGUUUGUUUUAGUGUUUCUUUCUUGCUCCGCUUUGCUGCUCUGCUAUGAUUGCACUCUUUGUUCAUGUAUUAUGUUGUAUAAGAGAAACCAAUGUAUCACUGGAGGAGAAAAAUAAUUCUUCAUUUAAUGUGGGAUUCCUCAUAUUUCUUCAA
Quercus robur (English oak) is the source of this 3367-nucleotide RNA transcript. It is a transcript of the gene named putative disease resistance protein At1g50180, with no coding region annotated. The record is from RefSeq and is a predicted model, not a curated record. The transcript has 4 exons. NCBI's taxonomy places the organism in Eukaryota, Viridiplantae, Streptophyta, Magnoliopsida, Fagales, Fagaceae.